This 2178-nucleotide unclassified non-coding RNA is filed under the name Ooceraea biroi (clonal raider ant). RNAcentral describes it as "wD repeat-containing protein 74, transcript variant X4". Lineage: Eukaryota; Metazoa; Arthropoda; Insecta; Hymenoptera; Formicidae. The record is from RNAcentral.
GAUAGACCCCCAGAGAUGCAGAGUGUGCGCCUCUAGUAAGAGUAUGAACACCGUUGAUCGAUUCAAUCAGCCAUAUCUAAUAGGGAAAUAAAAGUACUGCGGUUGAAAAUUACAAACGAGCUGUAAGAAUUAAUUCCGCAAACCUCCACUACGAGUCUCCACUAGUUUUGUUCGAAAAGUUAGUGAGUUGAGCUAGUCUAUGACACAUGGCCCAUGAUUUUUCACUUUUCAGCUUCUUUCUUCUUUUUCUGAAUAAACAGAAAAAAAGGUGAACUAGCAAUACAACUCGAUAGUUGGUCAGAGAUAAUCUUACUUUCAGCUGAUAUAACUAAACAUUGCACUAUAUAUUAAGUGUUUAUUUUUCGCAGCGCACGUGCAACGGUGCACACGUGCAGUGUGGCAGUGUGUCAGUGUGUCGUUGACGUGAAUUUGUAUUUGAUAUAUGUAAUUCUGUGCGUCCAUAAUGAGCUAUAAAGACAAUUUUAACGUUUUCGUCGGUGGAAAGUCGGGUGUUUUUAAAGGAAUUAAAAUUGAGAAGAAGGCGAAUGUAAUAAAAAAUAUACAGGACUUGGUCUCGAUAAGAGAAAACGAUCAGAUCACCACCAUUUCGUGGAGUAACGAAGAUGAAAAAGAUGUUCUAAUCGCAUGUGGUGUGAAAGAGGAUAAGAGAAUAAAGGUUUAUGACUCUGAGAGCUCUGAAUUUACAUGCUCAUUUCCUUGUAACACGGGCAAAGGAAGCAUAAAUGGGCUAUCACGAUACAAUGAAUCGAUCCUAACAGCUGUUAAAUCUGGUGAGGUAAGCUCGUGGCCGUUUAAUGGGAAGGAAGAGAUAUUGGUAAAUGCUGGAGAGAAUCUAGAUAAAAUGUGUCACUCGCGUGUGCAGAAGAAUAUAAUAGCAACUGGGGGAUUGGAAAAUAGGCUGAAAUUGUUUGACCUGGAGAAACGAACGUUAAUAUUUAGCGAAAAAAAUCUUUCUCACGAUUGGUUGGAGUUAAGAAUACCUAUCUGGAUAUCAGACUUGAACUUCCUACCGGCAACUCAACAAAUAGUCACAGCCGGUAGAUAUGGACAUAUACGCUUGUAUGAUCCGCGUGCACAAAGACGUCCUGUGAUAAAUACAACGAUUCAAGACGAAGCUUUAACUUGCCUGUGCAUUACACCCGCAGAAAGGCAUAUCAUAGUAGGUUCAGGCAAAGGACGGAUGAAUCUCGUUGAUCUGAGAAAAUCGGGCACUAUACUAAACACAUAUAAGGGAUUUGCUGGUGGUGUAACCGGAGUGGCUUGUAGCAUGAGUAAUCCAUACGUUGCGAGCGUUAGUCUCGACAGGUAUCUACGAAUACAUCACGUCGACACGAAAGAAGUCUUGAAAAAGAUUUAUUUAACGUCCAAGUUGACGUGUUUGGUAGUGAGAUCAGAUUUCUCCAUAGAAAGUAUAAUUGAUGAUAAACAGAAAGUAGUAGAGCUGCAUUGCGAUAAUAUCGACAAGCGAUCUUGCGGAAAUGAGGUGGCCAGCGAAGAAGAAUACGACGAACUGUUCAACAAAAUGGAAGCGGUAGAUAGUGAGCGCGUAGAAUUCAAUAAAAGACGGAAACGCAUUAAACUGACGCAAGAGGAGCGGUCAUCGAUCGAGCGUGAUAGGUCCCAAGAUUCGACAAAAACAAGGAACAGGAAGAACAGAAAAGAGAUUAAGCAAGAAAGACUUAAUAAGGAACGAAGACUGAAGAGAAGCUAAACAUUUCCUUCGACAAUUUCUACGUGCUCUCAACAAGUAACAAGUCGUGUCGAAGCCAAGUACGCGGUAUAUGCUGCACAGGCUACAGCGUAAUCCUUAAUAACUUUAUCAAGUAGAAGGAGUGAGAACGUGGCAACAAUUCGCAAGGUUGCGGCGUAUUUUGUACUAAAGAAGAAACGAUGCUCGCGACUACAGCACAUUAAAUGGACAUAUUCCAUUUUCUUCAACAAAGAGAUUAUUUACGUGAUUUCCAAACAAAAUUACUCUGGGUGGUUAGGUGGCUAACUCAACUAUAUAGAAUCAACAAUUGUUUUGAAAGAAUGUUUCGCUCAAUGACACUCAUCGGCAGCAUCUCCACAAAAAUGCACGUGAUCCAUCUUGGAGCUUUCUAUGCUCAAAAAAAAUCGUAAUGUAAAACUUAUAAUCAAUAAAAUCCUCUUCCUCGC